ACAAAUGUGAAGAGGAACCGGGGGUUGCAAGGUUCUGUAGGAAGAGCGAUGUAGCCUCGGCCACACGGAGAUGAAAGAGCCACAUUUUCCUAAAGUGGAAAAAGAUUGGUAAACUGCAUGCAGACAGGAAGAACACAGGAGUUAUCUCCAAACCAAUGCCCUCCAAAUGAAGGAAGUAUUGCGACUGUAUUUUGGAGGAAUCUAUAUUAAUUUAAGAAUGCAUUUUAUGGGAUGUAAAAAUUCUUUCUGGCUUUGGAGUUUCAUGACAAAAGGUGAAAGGUGUGGUGCAGAGGUCAGGGCAGUUGCCUGAAAUGAAGACCUGAGUUCCAUUGCCUGAAUCCACAAGAUGGAAAGGACUUGACCCUCCACAUCCACAGGGGUGCUAUGGCAUGCAUCUCCCCACAACCCUGCAAAAUAAUACAUGUAAAACAUUUUUUUUG
Molecule: long non-coding RNA, 440 nt
Filed under: Mus musculus (house mouse)
Lineage: Eukaryota; Metazoa; Chordata; Mammalia; Rodentia; Muridae
Description: predicted gene, 35521
Source: RNAcentral